Molecule: long non-coding RNA, 2088 nt
Filed under: Setaria viridis
Lineage: Eukaryota; Viridiplantae; Streptophyta; Magnoliopsida; Poales; Poaceae
Description: long non-coding RNA (SVIR_LNC010108)
Source: RNAcentral
CUCUCCCGCUCCUUUUUUUCUCUUUUGCUAUGUAUUAUGGCUAUUUCCAUAUCUUUUUUUUAUGUAAUGAGCCUAUCCUCUCUUUUCUGUUUGUAUUUCUAUAUACCCAAACUUAUAUAAGACUAGAUGAAUAUUAAGAUAAGAGGAUUCUUCCAACUAGAUAAAAAUCUAUCAUGGUCAGCAAAGUUGUUUCUUUAUUUGUGUUUGCUCUGUUAGUUAAUAAUUUCAAUUUCAUUAAGAAAAACAAACUAAAUAAAUGGAAAAUCUAAAUUGAUACAAUUCCUUUUAUUUUUUCUUCAAAUCCAAAAAAUUUCUCUUUUAUACAUAGGUCGUCGAUUCGGCAUUGGAAAAAGGGCUGGAUGCCCUUCUAGUAAAUAGUUCAAACUAUUUUAUCGAUAUGAGUGUUCUAUAUCAGAUAAAUUCCACACUAGCUAUUUCCCGUUUAAAGCAUUUCGAGACUAAUGUAGUUGUAGAAAGAGUACCCCCUUUUGCCCGGACUUCAAGCAGUUUAGCUUUAACCGUGUUAAUGGUCUCACAUUAUUGGUCUAUAGAGAAUCAAAGUAAAUUUACCAAUGAGUCGCGAAAUGCUAUGGUUCUUCCAUAUGAUUUCUGAAGUUAUUCAGAAGUAAUUCGUCGAGAUCGUGCACCUUUUCUUAUUUAUCCAAAAAAAUACUAAAAAAUAUUCUAAAGUGCAGCCGGAUAGAUCCAAUCUAUUCUUGAAAUAGACAACUCGCACACACUCCCUUUCCAAAAAAAAUCAAUACACCAACCACUACAGUUAGAUUUAUUAGAUUUGUUGCUAAAAUAUCGGUAUUAAGCCCGAAACUCCCAGCGAAUGGCCUGUGAGCUAAAAAAACGAAAGAAUAGGUUACAUUUUUCAUAUGCUCUCCUCUUAUAGAUAGGACGAACAAAGAAGAAAGUUUUUCGAUCACUUACUUCGCUCGCCCUUUUUUGAUCGGUUUUUUUAAUGCAAUCUUUUUUUAAUGCAAAUAGAUUUAAUCUAAUAAUUUCUUUUAGAUUAAGUCUUAGGUCUUGUUUGACCUGUAAAAAAUCUCCUUUGUUGAAAUGUUCCCAAAAUUCCUAAAAUAAAAGAAAAAGAGUUUCCACUGUCCUAAACUAAGAAUGGGAAGGAAGAGGACGAGCGUAUCCUCUAAAUUGAUCAUGCUCAAAUCAGCCCUUCCUGGGGUUCCUGGGGUAUUGUCUGUCCCGAUAAAUACAAAAUUCCCGGAAUAAUAUAAUAAAUAGGAGUAAAGUAUUGAUAUACUUGGAAUUACAGAAGCAAAUCCCAAUGUACGAAAAAAAAGAAAAAAGUAUCUAAUCUAAAGGACUCUUUUUCUUUUUUAGGAUUAAACAAAAGGGUUCGCAAAUAAAAGCGCUAGUGCCACAACCAGUCCAUAAAUUGUUAAAGCUUCCAUAAAAGCUAGACUAAGCAAUAAAGUACCUCGUAUUUUACCUUCUGCUUCUGGCUGUCUCGCAAUACCUUCUACAGCUUGUCCUGCAGCAGUACCUUGACCAACUCCGGGCCCAAUAGAAGCAAGCCCUACGGCCAAUCCAGCAGCAAUAACGGAAGCAGCAGCAAUUAGUGGAUUCAUGGUGAGUUCCUCGUGUCAAAAAAAAAAAGAAAUGGUUAAGGAUACAAUCAACCAAGAAAUUAUUACUUCUAACUUCUAAGCUCUAUUGGGUAAAAGUAACUAAUAAGUACAAAUAAAUGAUAAUUGAAAUCGUCCGAAUUACUUCGAGAUCUCGUUUUUAGUUUCUAAUCAUUAGAGGUUUGUGUAAAUCCAUAUGAUUCUCAUUAUUCUAUUUCUCUUUCUUUUCAACCAAUCACUCUUUCAUUCCAUCCUUUUUUUUUACUCUUUGAUAUCCUUGAGUUCCCAUUUUUUCCCCUUCAUCUAACAUAAUAAAAGACGAAAUAUAGGAAGAACCCCUAUUGAAAUCGAACUAAUUCAAAUCCAAUAGGAAUCAAAUCAAGAUAUACAAUUGAUAACAAUAUGCUGCAUAGAAUUAGAAUUAGAUAUGGAAUCCAGUUCUAUAUAGAAGGGAAUUCUACAUAUCGGAUUAGAUAAUGAAUCUAACUUAGGAAUAAAA